Molecule: ribosomal RNA, 497 nt
Filed under: uncultured bacterium
Lineage: Bacteria
Description: partial 16S ribosomal RNA
Rfam family: Bacterial small subunit ribosomal RNA
Source: RNAcentral
GAUGAACGCUGGCGGCGUGCCUAAUACAUGCAAGUCGAGCGAACAGACGAUGAGCUUGCUCCUCUGACGUUAGCGGCGGGCGUGUGAGUAACACGUGGAUAACCUACCUAUAAGACUGGGAUAACUUCGGGAAACCGGAGCUAAUACCGGAUAAUAUAUUCAACCUCAUGGUUCAAUAGUUAAAGACUGGUUUGCUGUCACUUCUCGAUCUAUCCGCGCCGCAUUAGCUAGUUGGUAAGGUAACGGCUUACGAAGGCGACGAUGCGUAGCCGACCUGAGAGGGGGAUCGGCCACACUGGAACGAAGACACGGACCAGACUCCAACGGGAGGCAGCAGUAGGGAAGCUGCCGCCAUGGGCGAAAGCUUGACGGAGCAACGACGCGUGAGGGAUGAAGGUCUUCGGAGCGUAAAACGCUGUCAGUAGGGAAGAACAAAUGUGUAAGUACCUAUGCACGUCUUGACGGUACCUAAUCAGAAAGCAACGGCUAACUACGUG